Molecule: long non-coding RNA, 431 nt
Filed under: Capsicum annuum
Lineage: Eukaryota; Viridiplantae; Streptophyta; Magnoliopsida; Solanales; Solanaceae
Description: long non-coding RNA (CANN_LNC016816)
Source: RNAcentral
GAGGCUAUAUUGAUGAUAUGUUGAUACUCGUCAAGGAUGGAGGAUACUAUUAACGAUGUGUUGAUAUCCGACAAAAGCCGAAGGUUUAUUACAAUGAUGAUGGUCCUGAUAAGGACAAUUAUGAUGGGUUGUGAUAUUGAUUGUGUACUUUGCAUUCAUUCCUGCAUGUGCAUCGCCUAUCACCAGUAUGCACCUAUAUUUAUCAGCUGGUAUGGGACUGUUGCACAUAUAUGGGUGAAGAAUAUACCUUGUGUUGUUGUAAGUUGAUUGAACCUUUGGAGUCUAGCGGUGGGGGUAUGCAUCUGCUCAGUUAGGUAUUUCGUUGUCUAGAGUAGCCAGUUAUUUAUGAUAUUAUUGAUAUUGUUAUUAUCAUUAUUGUGAUCAUUAUUAUGGCUAGCCUAUGACAGAUUGGUCAUUGACCCGGUGUUGGG